CCCCUUCCAGAGUAUCAAUUGGAGGGCAAGUCUGGUGCCAGCAGCCGCGGUAAUUCCAGCUCCAAUAGCGUAUAUUAAACUUGUUGCAGUUAAAAAGCUCGUAGUUGAAUUUCUGCUGUUUCGUUGACUGCGUUUGGCGUUUGUCAUCGUUGCGGCUUGGUUGGGUUUCGAUUAUUCGUUUCCCGGCGUUUACUUUGAGAAAAUUAGAGUGCUUGAAGCAGGCUUUUGCCUUGAAUACUUUAGCAUGGAAUAACGGAGUAGGACUUUGGUUCUAUUUUGUUGGUUUUAGGAGCCAGAGUAAUGGUUAAUAGGAACAGUUGGGGGCAUUCGUAUUUGACUGUCAGAGGU
RNAcentral lists this ribosomal RNA (348 nucleotides) under Theileria equi. RNAcentral describes it as "SSU rRNA". It matches the Rfam family "Eukaryotic small subunit ribosomal RNA", at positions 530 to 912 of the family's 1831-position model. The record is from RNAcentral. Lineage: Eukaryota; Apicomplexa; Aconoidasida; Piroplasmida; Theileriidae.